UAAAGCCUUCUUCCAUGUGAAAGUCAGCUUUUAUGAGGUGGGUAUGAAGCAAUCUAGUCAAACCCUGGUCUGCACAAAGGCAGUGGGUGCCAAUACUCCCCUUUUCCUGGGAGCAGGAUCAUUGCUUUAGCCAGUAACAGUCUCCCAAUAAAGGGCAUGAAACUGUGCAAGAAGAGAGAAGAAACAAGUUGUGAAGUCAUAUACAACAAAGUAAUUCCUCUUAGUUCAGGUGUGCCUCUAGAAGCAGGCAGCACAGGGAACAAAAAUACACUUAACAAAGGCCACCACAAACCACUCCAGUAAUCUCAAGAUGCUCGAUUUGGACCCCAUCCUAUUCUCUUUCCCAGCACAGAGUCUACUAGGAAAGCCGGGAGACCGCACCCUGGUUAGAGCCGGCAGAGAGAGGAGAGCCGCACAGAUCACCCCCUCCAAGCGCUGCUCAGAAUGGCUUUUUCCCUGCAGGUCACAUUCCUUCACCAGUCAACCUGUCUGUCCCAUGAAUAGCAUCAAAGGAACGCUGUGCUGUUUGAAGAGAGCCACUGAGCAUAUGUAAUGGAAAAAGAAAACAGGCAUCACUUAAAGAAAGGCCAGGCAGUGUGAUCAAAUCAGAGUUGGAAAGAAUGAAGGUCUCCCUAGAUGUC
Molecule: long non-coding RNA, 641 nt
Organism: Neopsephotus bourkii (Bourke's parrot)
Lineage: Eukaryota; Metazoa; Chordata; Aves; Psittaciformes; Psittacidae
Exons: 3
Source: RefSeq, a predicted model, not a curated record